RNAcentral lists this small RNA (1275 nucleotides) under Pongo abelii (Sumatran orangutan). RNAcentral's name for it is "retained intron". Lineage: Eukaryota; Metazoa; Chordata; Mammalia; Primates; Hominidae. The record is from RNAcentral.
GGAGGCCGGAGGGCAAAAUUGGGGCUUACUCUGCUCUGGCGACCCAGAACCGUCAACUGAAAUGACCGUGUCUGUGUAGUACUCCGGCAGGAUGGGCCUCGGAGCGUAAAGGCGGCAAAAAAAAAAAAAAAAGGAGAGAGAGACAAAAAAAAGAAAACCUGAAAAUUUCAGCUGCACUGCUGCGGAACGUUUUUUAGGCAGAAGGCGAAAGAAGAAAUCGGAAGUGACGUCGCGGCCAAAACAAGCCCGGGGUUGGAGGCCUUUACUGAAGCUGGUCUCAGAUGGGAAGGCCCGACUCGCUGUCUGCUGUCGUCGGUGGUCGCGAGACUCUGCACUCUCACCGGGUCGGCUUCCAGCCCCUGUGCCCGGGAUCCGCUCGCCGCGGAUGAGCGAGAGUUUCUUCCUGGGACUUUUCGGGCACAGCUGGCCGGUGGCGACAGAACGGACUUUCUUUCCUACAGGAGUCUCCCCUCCAGCGGGCUCCUGUCUCGGGACGCUGGGACACCUGUCGCCUAUUUUUAAAUAUCCAGAUUCCAAGAAUACAUUGGAUACUGCUCUUACAAAACCAAGAGGAAAUCGUGAAGAAAUGUUUUAAUUAUUGAAACUACAGUGGAAAUCAUGGCUACAUCAACAAAUCUGGAUAUUGGAGCCCAGCUUAUAUUGGAAGAAUGUCCCAGCACUUAUAGCCUAACUGGCAUGCCAGACAUUAAAAUAGAACAUCCACUGGACCCAAAUUCAGAAGAAGGGUCAGCUCAGAGUGUUGCCAUGGGAAUGAAAUUCAUAUUGCCUAACCGAUUUGAUAUGAAUGUGUGUUCUCGAUUUGUGAAGUCCUUAAAUGAAGAAGAUAGUAAAAAUAUUCAAGAUCAGGUUAACUCUGACCUGGAGGUGGCAUCUGUCCUAUUUAAAGCUGAAUGCAAUAUCCAUACAUCUCCUUCUCCGGGAAUUCAAGUAAGGCAUGUCUACACCCCCUCUACAACAAAGCAUUUCUCACCCAUAAAACAGUCAACUACUUUAACCAACAAACACAGAGGAAAUGAGGUCUCUACCACACCUCUGUUAGCAAAUUCUUUGUCUGUUCACCAGUUGGCUGCUCAGGGAGAGAUGCUCUAUCUGGCCACUCGUAUCGAACAAGGUAAUAGCCUAUUUAAAAAUAUUUAAACAAAUUCAAUAGGAUUUAUUAGAUUUGUUAUUGUUUUAUUUUAAUAUAAGAAAGUCUAAAGACAAAAACAAAUAGUUACAUAAACUCACCAAGUAGAUAACCCAAUGGAUAGUAAA